This 84-nucleotide microRNA precursor is filed under the name Bombyx mori (domestic silkworm). Its description in RNAcentral is "mir-2807 microRNA precursor family". It matches the Rfam family "mir-2807 microRNA precursor family". The record is from Rfam by way of RNAcentral. Lineage: Eukaryota; Metazoa; Arthropoda; Insecta; Lepidoptera; Bombycidae.
UUAUCUCAGAUUUGUAUGGGGUUGGAACGUUUACCUACGUUUGCCGUUAGGGGCGCUGAUUCAACUUCAUACAUAUUUGAGUUA